This 1315-nucleotide long non-coding RNA is filed under the name Podarcis muralis (Common wall lizard). RNAcentral's name for it is "lncRNA (ENSPMRG00000011705.1)". Lineage: Eukaryota; Metazoa; Chordata; Lepidosauria; Squamata; Lacertidae. The record is from RNAcentral.
CAGCCUACCUCCGUGGGAGGGAGGCGGGCGAGUCGGGCGGCGAGAGGCGGGGCGGCGGCGGCGAGGAGAGGCCGCCCAGCGCGGGGCUUCUCGCCAUCUGCCUGCCUGGCUGCCUGCGAGCUCGGCGGGCAGCGCUUCCGCCCGCAGCGCCCGCCUCGCGGCUCUCAUUCCCUGCCCCUGCCAAAGCUCACCCAGCCCAAGCCGCGCUCUCCUUCCUGCCUCGCUUUUGCUGCCUCCUCCCCCCCCACCCCCAAAGCUUGGAGGUUUCCCGGCAGGAAGGAGGGAACUUAAUCCUCUCCAAGGGCUGCGGAAAACAGACAUGCAAAUGGGGGCUUGCCAGCUCUUCAAGCGCCGGCUUUCUUCGGGAAUUACCGCCCGCCGAGCCCGGUAACGCUGACAGGCCGAGCCGCGGGGCUUGGCAGCGCAGCCGGCAGAGUGUGGGAAAGGGCGGCCGCCACGCGCCGGGCAAGGCGAGACUCGACGGGGAGGACACCGGCAGCAGCGCCCCCCCCCCCAGAAACCCGCUCCGGGCAGGUAAUUCACAGAGAGUGGACAGAAGGAAGCCUUAAAGGGCUUCAGCCUCCCAGAGUGGCGGGGAAUAAUAAUAAUAAUAAUGAUAAUAAUAAAAUUGACAGGGGGUGUUUUUCUAGGUGAGGGGGUGGGGACUGUAAUAACAAAAAAAUCAGCUCUAUAUCAACCGCUGUUUUGCAAUGAGGAAUUGCAAAUAAGGAAGAUCAAAAGGAGAAUGUUUUUUUGGGGGGGACUCUCUUCCUCUUCCUCCUCCUCCUCUCGUUCUUGCUCCUCUUCCUGGCAAAAGGGCUGCUGAGACCCCUUCUCUCUUGGGUGCCGGUGGGUGCUGUGACGUUGACGCUGCUGUGGCAAGUGCCUUUACUUAGCAGAGUGCAUUCCCCUUUACACAGGAGGGGAGGGAAAAAAAUUGAAACUUACACUUUCGUGCGUCCCUCCCGGCACGACGCUGCGCGCUGACGUCACGGGGCUGUAAUGGUGGUGUGCCUCGAGAUUUUUUUCAUCAAACAAGUGUGCCUUUGCCCAAAAAAGGUUGGGAAACACUGACUUAGAUGACUGUAUUAUCCAGCAUGUCUAUGAAGUUUAGUGACAUGUUUCUGUGUCUGCAGGUAAACUGAUGCUGAUGCUAAAUAGAGCUGUAAGAAAGUGAAACAUACAAAGGUGAUAUGAAACACACAUUCCCAUUACAAUAUAAUGUGUGCAGUACCUACCAGGAUGCAGCCUGUGAUCCUCGUGCACAGAUCGGCUUUUGUUUGAUCAUCGUAUCUGAGUUCCUGUUUUCUUUGUA